UACGAAACAAUUUGGCUAAGUGUUAAAGGAGUAUAUAAGACACACAUUUAGAUGUGAAUUCAUUGUACUGAAAACUAAGAAGUUAAAAUGUUUUUCAAAGUCCUAUAUUUUUUCCUGAUGCUGGCAGUCGCAGCCUUCGCGGUGCCAACUUUACCAGCUGCAGUUCCAAGCGAUCCUCUCGUGAAUGUGGAAGCUCCAGUCCAAGCCGUUUUUUCCAAAUACGGCUCUGAUGUCAGUAACGCACCUCAUAAUGGAGUCGUACCCUCAGAUGUGCCAACUUGGUAAUCAAAGUGUUUAUGUGAAACUUUAAAUACAAUUUUUAUUUUGUCAAUAUAUAAUGUUUAAAAGUU
Danaus plexippus (monarch butterfly) is the source of this 350-nucleotide long non-coding RNA. RefSeq lists it as uncharacterized. Lineage: Eukaryota; Metazoa; Arthropoda; Insecta; Lepidoptera; Nymphalidae. The record is from RefSeq and is a predicted model, not a curated record. The transcript is spliced from 4 exons.